UUCUAUAAUCGAUAUUCCACGAUGGACCUUACUUAAAUUUGUUUAUCAGUUUAUAUACCGUCGUUAUUAGAAUAUUUUAUAAGAAUGUUAAUUUUCAUAAUUUUUAAAAAGAAAAUAUAUCAGAUCAAGGUGUAGCUUAUAUUUAAGUAGAAAUGGGUUACAAUAAAAUUAUUUUGUUGAAUAUAAAUUUGAAAUGUUUAUUGAAAUUGGAUUUGAUAGUAAAAUUAUAAAGAUUAUUAAUUUGAUUUUAGCUCUAAAAUAUGUACACAUCGCCCGUCACUCUUAUUAUUAAGGUAAGAUAAGUCGUAACAUAGUAGAUGUACUGGAAAGUGCCUCUAGAAUGCAAUUUAAAGCUUAAUAGUAAAGUAUUUCAUUUACAUUGAAGAGAUUUUUGUGCAAAUCAAUAUAAAUUGAUUAUAUUUUAUUUAUUAAUUUUUUUUUAAAAAAAAAUAAAUUUAUUAAAAAUAAUUAUAAAAAAUAAUGUUUUAGUAUUUUAUAAAAAAAAAUAAUUUUAAUAAUAGUUUAAUAGUAUUGUAAAAGAAAAUU
Molecule: ribosomal RNA, 546 nt
Filed under: Neodexiopsis sp. SNK-2014
Lineage: Eukaryota; Metazoa; Arthropoda; Insecta; Diptera; Muscidae
Description: partial 12S ribosomal RNA
Rfam family: tRNA (bases 344-414)
Source: RNAcentral